GCGCGAAAACUGCACAAUGCUGGAAACAGCGAUGCGGGAACACCAAGUGCCGGCACAGAGUGUCGGCUGUUCCAUUGCCUAAAAAGCAUAGGAAGUAAGGGCUGGGUAAGACGGGUGCCAGCCGCCGCGGUAAUACCUGCAGCCCGAGUGGUGGCCGUUAUUAUUGGGCCUAAAACGUCCGUAGCCUGCUCAGUAGAUGCCUGUGUAAAUCGAACGGCUUAACCGUUCGAACUGCGGGUAGACCGCUGGGCUUGGGACCGGGAGAGUCACGAAGUACUCCGGGGGUAGAGGUGAAAUUCUGUAAUCCUCGGGGGACUACCGGUGGCGAAGGCGUCGUGAUAGAACGGCUCCGACGGUGAGGGACGAAGCCCUGGGGCGCAAACCGG
RNAcentral lists this ribosomal RNA (386 nucleotides) under uncultured bacterium. RNAcentral's name for it is "bacterial SSU rRNA". It matches the Rfam family "Archaeal small subunit ribosomal RNA", at positions 339 to 727 of the family's 1478-position model. The record is from RNAcentral.